AGUGAACGCUGGCGGCAGGCCUAAUACAUGCAAGUCGAACGGCAGCACAGCAGAGCUUGCUCUGUGGGUGGCGAGUGGCGGACGGGUGAGGAAUACAUGGGAAUCUGCCCAGUCGUAGGGGAUAACGUAGGGAAACUUACGCUAAUACCGCAUGCGCCCUUCGGGGAAAGCCGGGGACCUUCGGGCCUGGCGCGAUUGGAUGAGCCCAUGUCGGAUUAGCUAGUUGGCGGGGUAAUGGCCCACCAAGGCGACGAUCCGUAGCUGGUCUGAGAGGAUGAUCAGCCACACUGGAACUGAGACACGGUCCAGACUCCUACGGGAGGCAGCAGUAGGGAAUAUUGGACAAUGGGCGCAAGCCUGAUCCAGCCAUGCCGCGUGAGUGAAGAAGGCCCUCGGGUUGUAAAGCUCUUUUGUCCGGAAAGAAAAGCGCCGGGUUAAUACCCUGGUGUCCUGACGGUACCGGAAGAAUAAGCACCGGCUAACUUCGUGCCAGCAGCCG
Molecule: ribosomal RNA, 499 nt
Filed under: uncultured bacterium
Lineage: Bacteria
Description: bacterial SSU rRNA
Rfam family: Bacterial small subunit ribosomal RNA
Source: RNAcentral